RNAcentral lists this ribosomal RNA (773 nucleotides) under uncultured Neocallimastigales. RNAcentral's name for it is "partial large subunit ribosomal RNA". It matches the Rfam family "Eukaryotic large subunit ribosomal RNA", at positions 22 to 634 of the family's 3401-position model. Lineage: Eukaryota; Fungi; Neocallimastigomycota; Neocallimastigomycetes; Neocallimastigales. The record is from RNAcentral.
UGUGUAUCAGUACAUGGCAUAUCAAUAAGCGGAGGAAAAGAAACUAACUAGGAUUCCCUCAGUAACGGCGAGUGAAGCGGGAAGAGCUCAAAUUUGAAAUCUUCAAGGUUUUACCUUGACGAAUUGUAGUUUAAAGAAGUGUUUUCUGUUGGAGUUUUGGUAAAAGUUCUUUGGAAUAGGACAUCAUAGAGGGUGAGAAUCCCGUAUUUGACCAUUAUUUCCAGCUGUGUGAUACACUUUCAAAGAGUCGGAUUGUUUGGGAAUGCAGUCCAAAAUGGGUGGUAAAUUUCAUCUAAAGCUAAAUAUUGGCGAGAGACCGAUAGCGAACAAGUACCGUGAGGGAAAGAUGAAAAGAACUUUGAAAAGAGAGUUAAACAGUACGUGAAAUUGUCAAAGGGAAGCGUUUGACACCAGUGUUGUUUUCUCGAAAAUCAAUUAAAAAUGACCGGAUUUUGUGUUGUAUUGACUUUAUCAGCUUUCUGCACUUUUUUCUUGUCUUUUUUAAUGCACUUUUCGUUUAACAAGUCAACAUCAAUUUCUUUUGUUGUAAAAGGGUCAUUGGAAGGUGGCUUUCAUUUCGGUGAAAGUGUUUAUAGCCUUUGACUUCUGCAAUCGGAGAGAUUGAGGUCUGCAGCGUAGAUCCUUCGGGGUUAGAUACAUUGGUGCUAAGCUAUAGCCUUGUAUAGACAACUUGUUGACUAUGCUCAGUCAUGUAGCUUACUCGCUGAUGCUAUUUUACCUACGCUUAGGAUGUUGACAGCAGUAUAGACUGU